Non-coding RNA from Glycine max (soybean), 120 nucleotides. NCBI's taxonomy places the organism in Eukaryota, Viridiplantae, Streptophyta, Magnoliopsida, Fabales, Fabaceae. The record is from Rfam.
UUUUUAUUGGAUGAUGAUUGUCACGUGUCAUAUUCUAAUUAGAUGUCAACUCCAUGAAAAAUGAGAUGCAUUGUUGUUUUCAUUGACCAAUCAGAACAUGACACAUGACAAACAUUAUCC